GACGGAUCCUUUAAUAAUAUUCAAGCCUUCCAGUCCCCAAGCAGAGUACUCAGGAAAAGCCAUGGCAUAGUGUCCAGUAUUUAACUACGGUAUGAGAACGCCCUAUUAUAUCUUCCUAAAUUAUCCACCUGAGGCCUUCAUCAGAAAAAUAAGACAUUCUGCUUUCAUAUAGGGCAAGACAGCUAGCACCCGCUGCCCUGGCAGAGAAUCAUCUUCCAUGAAGUCAUUCCAUCCUGCUCUCCUGGACAGAGUCUACCCUGAAGCUGGAAGAUGCCUUCCAGGUCCCCUCUCCCAACUAAAUGACUCUGAGGAAGAAGAGGAGAAAGAGGAGAAAAAAGGGAAGGAGGAAAAAGAAGAGAAAGAGUAAGUGAAGGAGAAGAAAGAGCAGAAGGAGGAAGAAAAGGAAGAGGAGGAGGAGGCUGAAGACAGUAAUUUUGGGAUUAGGGCUAUAAUUCAAUUAUUCUUAUACUUGGGUAAAUUCAGUAUGUAAGUGUAUUCAGAACCCAGGAAGAUGGGAUUCUGAAAGGAGAUAGCCCAAAUUACAGGGCAAGAGCUGGUGCAGAUCACCCAUGCUCAGAGAGUACAGGAAUUGGAAAAUUGGGUGGGAAAGGGAGAGCAGGCCCCUGGAUAGGGCUGCUUUCUUGGGAAUGGAAGCUUAGGGGAUUCUGCCCUACUUGACAACUGACAGUGGUGGCCGUAUACACAAACAUACAUAUUUGAAGAGGACCAGUGACAGUAUGGGAUGAUGCCUUGUAACUUUUGCAUGAAUUGGAUUUAAGUGAGGCAGACUUGCACGUUCAUCAAUCAGCCUCAUUCUCUCUUACACAGUCACUGAAGUUCAAUGACAGAACAAGUCAAACUUGCAAUAUCCUGGGGUGCAGUGGAUCACUGUGGCUUCAAUGUCUGACCAAGCUCUAGUAUCCCUUUGUGGCCAUUGGAACACCUUGUUCUCAUGUGGCCAUUCUGUCCUGGGAAAGUGUGUGCAUGUUAGGGGUAGACAUCCCUCUAACUCCCCCAGAGCUUGAGGUCCUUACCCUGCUUUAGUCUGCCCACGAAGAUGGUUUUGCUGGGGAGUGGCCAAUGCUUCUUGGACCCAUAUGUGAGAGUUGAGUGACAGGUAGAUCUUAAAGUUAGAUGAGCAGCCCUGAAAAGGGUGCUUAGUUCUCCCUAAAUCCCUCAUACACCCAUUUGGCAGGUAGGUGAAAGAAGCCGAUGGGGCAAGCCCCAGGGACAGGGGUUAUUAAGGUAAGAAAUAUACUCACCAUAUUAUUGUUCUGUAAGAAACAAUCAGCAGGAUAAUUUCAGAAAGGUCCAGAGAGACUUAUAUGAAUUGAU
Sarcophilus harrisii (Tasmanian devil) is the source of this 1335-nucleotide long non-coding RNA. RefSeq lists it as uncharacterized. NCBI's taxonomy places the organism in Eukaryota, Metazoa, Chordata, Mammalia, Dasyuromorphia, Dasyuridae. The transcript has 3 exons. The record is from RefSeq and is a predicted model, not a curated record.